RNAcentral lists this ribosomal RNA (464 nucleotides) under uncultured bacterium. RNAcentral describes it as "partial 16S ribosomal RNA". It matches the Rfam family "Bacterial small subunit ribosomal RNA", at positions 28 to 507 of the family's 1533-position model. The record is from RNAcentral.
GACGAACGCUGGCGGCGUGCUUAACACAUGCAAGUCGAACGGAAAGGCCCUGCUUGCAGGGUACUCGAGUGGCGAACGGGUGAGUAACACGUGGGUGAUCUGCCCUGCACUUCGGGAUAAGCCUGGGAAACUGGGUCUAAUACCGGAUAGGAGCCAUUUUUAGUGUGAUGGUUGGAAAGUUUUUUCGGUGUAGGAUGAGCUCGCGGCCUAUCAGCUUGUUGGUGGGGUAAUGGCCUACCACGGCGGCGACGGGUAGCCGGCCUGAGAGGGUGGACGGCCACAUUGGGACUGAGAUACGGCCCAGACGCCUACGGGAGGCAGCAGUGGGGAAUAUUGCACAAUGGGCGCAAGCCUGAUGCAGCGACGCCGCGUGGGGGAUGACGGCCUUCGGGUUGUAAACUCCUUUCGCUAGGGACGAAGCUUUUGUGACGGUACCUAGAUAAGAAGCACCGGCUAACUACGUG